Molecule: ribosomal RNA, 261 nt
Filed under: uncultured bacterium
Lineage: Bacteria
Description: partial 16S ribosomal RNA
Rfam family: Bacterial small subunit ribosomal RNA
Source: RNAcentral
UGGCGAACGGGUGAGUAACGCGUGAGGAACCUGCCUCAAAGGGGGGGACAACAGUUGGAAACGACUGCUAAUACCGCAUAAGCCCACGGUGCCGCAUGGCACAGAGGGAAAAGGAGCAAUCCGCUUUGAGAUGGCCUCGCGUCCGAUUAGCUAGUUGGUGAGGUAACGGCCCACCAAGGCAACGAUCGGUAGCCGGACUGAGAGGUUGAACGGCCACAUUGGGACUGAGACACGGCCCAGACUCCUACGGGAGGCAGCAUG